AACUCAUGGGAGCUCAGGUGCUUGCAAUGCAGCUGAAUGACCAGAAGGGCUGGACCCAGGAUCCACCCCUUCCCAGCCCUCAUUUAAGGGUUGGCAGUGGAAACAAGGAUAUCUCCCUGCAGGUUUGUGCCUACCUAAGGCUUUCUAAAGUUUUGGAUGGGAGAGGUGAAUUAUUGCCCUGCAUACAACUUUGGGCCACACACUCAAUGCUGCCACCCAUAAACACCUUACCUCAUCUUGAAGGACUGGUGACACAAGGCUGUACCCGACGUCAUGCAGGGCUGUGUGAUGACUGAUUCCUGUGAAUGAAAGAAUCAGCCUGAUCUCAUGUUCCAAGAAUGAAACCCUGGCAUGGAAGUGGCAUAUCUACUAGUUAAUGUCAACAUUUGAUGUGCAGUCAGAGAGCAAACAGGAUUUCAUAUUGUGGUUUUUUUUAAAAAAAGGGAAAUACUAUUUGCUUUAAUUCUAGUUUCUUUGUGUUGGAUGUAUUAGGAGUCGCAUAAAAUAGUAAAAGAAUUUCAUUCUUACUUGCUAUUAUAAGAAGCAAAAAUAUAUA
This is a non-coding RNA of Meleagris gallopavo (turkey), 556 nucleotides long. The record is from RefSeq and is a predicted model, not a curated record. NCBI's taxonomy places the organism in Eukaryota, Metazoa, Chordata, Aves, Galliformes, Phasianidae.